Molecule: small nucleolar RNA, 127 nt
Organism: Octodon degus (degu)
Lineage: Eukaryota; Metazoa; Chordata; Mammalia; Rodentia; Octodontidae
Source: Ensembl
CUCUAUGUGCCUUUGGGACCUCUCAGCUGUGACCGUCACCUUCCUAGCCAUGGAACAGCAUAUUCUUGUUUAUUGGCAAAGCUGUAACCACUUAACUGGCAUCAGAGUUUGAUAUUCUUUGGUGUUU